CCUCGACUCGUAGGUUGGCAGAUGCUUGUGCUCAUUCCUGCCAGAGCGCAUCACAACCUACUUGAUUGAGGGG
RNAcentral lists this microRNA precursor (73 nucleotides) under Mesocestoides corti. RNAcentral describes it as "microRNA mco-mir-307 precursor". Its record names the gene mco-mir-307. The record is from miRBase by way of RNAcentral. Lineage: Eukaryota; Metazoa; Platyhelminthes; Cestoda; Cyclophyllidea; Mesocestoididae.